Molecule: unclassified non-coding RNA, 1206 nt
Filed under: Zea mays
Lineage: Eukaryota; Viridiplantae; Streptophyta; Magnoliopsida; Poales; Poaceae
Description: misc RNA Zm00001eb422770
Source: RNAcentral
UGACUAAUAAAGUUGCACAAAAAGAAGAAUUUGCCAAUUUACAUUUGUACUAUUGAUGGAUUCUUAAAACAUGAUUGAAAUUGGAAUAAUGCCAAUUUAACAGUGGGAGAAAUGGAGAAUGAAGAAAUAGUGACAUGACUACGGCACCGCUCUAUUUUUCUCUGUAUCUGCUCACGAUGAACAACUGAACCCUAUUUAUUUGCAGCGUCAAGAACGUGUCUCUACUCUAAUGGAGCAGCAGUAUAAUUUACUAGCCACCGUACGUUUUCGCAUAGGAAGCAUGCAUGCACGGUUCUUCCUCGAAGAGGCAGCUCGCACUUUAGGCUCAGCAGCACACCGUACCAUCCAUGGAGGGCUGGAGGCGCCAGUUGCCUGCGUGGGAAGAGGGGCUCGCAUUGGCUGCGCAAGCACGCUCGCGUCGCGUCAGCUCGCCCUCGCCGUGGCCGCGGCGACGGUCUUCUCGAUGACGAAGAGCCUCCGGAAGAUCCUGAUGAGCAGCACCCACGUGCCGGCGCGGCGGCGGCAGUGCCGGGCCGCGCCGGCCCUGGACGAGGGGCGCAGCGCAGGGGCGCACCCGCGGGCCGCCGCGGGCUCCGACUCCGCGUCCGACGAGUAGUCCGAGGACUCCGGCCACAGGCCGCGCGCCAGCUCCUCGUUGAAGUCCUCCCACAGCAGGUCCAUCCUGUCCUCCACCGCGGCGUCUGCUCCCGCCCCCGCCGGCCCUUGUCGCGCUGCGGCCAUGGCGGUGCGUUUGAGUGCGGCGGCGGCGGCGGGAGGAGAGGGAGGGGACCUGCAGGGUGGUGUGGGUGCCGUCGAGCUGGCGGCCGCGAACGGGGGGAACGGGAGCUGGCGCCACGCCGCCGCCGAAAGUGGGCCUGCGACGACGACAGCAGCGGCAGGCGGCUCGAACGUCGUCGUCGCUGCGGCUGCUGUCGAAGUGGCAGCCGGGGAGGUGAAGUCCAUAUCCAUUCCUGACACUCUCGAAUCCGUCGAUCGAUGGUGGCGAGGCAUAGAUAUAGAUGAUGACGUCGCUGCUGCUGUUAACCCUUGGGCGAAGUCUAGCAGUGAUUGUUGCCGCGCCUGUGUCCACGGACCACGGCCCCCGCCCCCGCCCAGUAGGUGGCGCGGCACCCCGUGGUCCAGUGCCGGCCGUGCGAAAACCAACACGCGCGCGGCAUAUGGAACCCGGAGCGGAUCCACGCUCGU